RNAcentral lists this ribosomal RNA (1496 nucleotides) under metagenome. RNAcentral describes it as "bacterial SSU rRNA". It matches the Rfam family "Bacterial small subunit ribosomal RNA". The record is from RNAcentral.
AGAGUUUGAUCCUGGCUCAGGACGAACGCUGGCGGCGUGUUUUACCCAUGCAAGUUGAACGAAGGAAUAUGACAGAAGGUCUUCGGACCGGAAGAUAUAUUCACUGAGUAGCGAACGGGUGAGUAACGCGUGAAUAACCAACCCUCCACAGGGGGACAACAUCUGGAAACGGAUGCUAAUACCGCAUAAGACCACAGUACUGCAUGGCACAGGUGUAAAAACCACGGUGGUGGAGGACGGAUUCGCGUUCCAUUAGCUAGUAGGUAGGGUAACGGCCUACCUAGGCAUCGAUGGAUAGCCGAGCUGAGAGGCUGAUCGGCCGCACUGGAACUGAGAUACGGUCCAGACUCCUACGGGAGGCAGCAGGGAAUAAUAUUGUACAAUGGGGGAAACCCUGAUACAGCAACGCCGCGUGAAGGAAGAAGGCCUUCGGGUUGUAAACUUCUGUGACGGGGGACGAAAAAAAUGACGGUACCCCGAGAGGAAGCCCCGGCAAACUACGUGCCAGCAGCCGCGGUAAUACGUAGGGGGCAAGCGUUGUCCGGAAUCACUGGGCGUAAAGGGCGCGCAGGCGGCCUGACAAGUUGUAUGUGAAAUCCCCGGGCUUAACCCGGGACGUGCAUACAAAACUAUUAGGCUUGAGUAUGGUAGAGGUAAGUGGAAUUCCUAGUGUAGCGGUGGAAUGCGUAGAUAUUAGGAGGAACACCAGUGGCGAAGGCGACUUACUGGGCCAUAACUGACGCUGAGGCGCGAAAGCGUGGGGAGCAAACAGGAUUAGAUACCCUGGUAGUCCACGCUGUAAACGAUGAAUACUAGGUGUAGGGGGUAUCGACCCCCCCUGUGCCGGAGCUAACGCAAUAAGUAUUCCGCCUGGGGAGUACGACCGCAAGGUUGAAACUCAAAGGAAUUGACGGGGACCCGCACAAGCAGCGGAGCAUGUGGUUUAAUUCGACGCAACGCGAAGAACCUUACCAGGACUUGACAUCCACAGAAUCUUAGGGAAACCUAGGAGUGCCUUCGGGAACUGUGAGACAGGUGGUGCAUGGUUGUCGUCAGCUCGUGUCGUGAGAUGUUGGGUUAAGUCCCGCAACGAGCGCAACCCUUAUGUUCAGUUACCAGCGGAUAAUGCCGGGGACUCUGGACAGACUGCCGGGGAUAACUCGGAGGAAGGUGGGGACGACGUCAAAUCAUCAUGCUCCUUAUGUCCUGGGCUACACACGUGCUACAAUGGUCGUUACAAAGGGAAGCAACCCCGCAAGGGGGAGCAAAACCGAAAAAGGCGAUCUCAGUUCGGAUUGAGGGCUGCAACCCGCCCUCAUGAAGCCGGAGUUGCUAGUAAUCGCGAAUCAGCACGUCGCGGUGAAUACGUUCCCGGGUCUUGUACACACCGCCCGUCACACCACGGAAGUUGGGGGCACCCGAAGCCAGUGAGCUAACCGCAAGGAGGCAGCUGUCUAAGGUGAAAUCAAUGACUGGGGUGAAGUCGUAACAAGGUA